This 117-nucleotide ribosomal RNA is filed under the name Danio rerio (zebrafish). Lineage: Eukaryota; Metazoa; Chordata; Actinopteri; Cypriniformes; Danionidae. The record is from RNAcentral.
AGCCACAGCUGUGUCACCCUGCAGCCCAAGACUAGUUACUUACUAAAGCUAAGCAAGCCUGAGCCUGGUCAGUACGUGGAUGGUAGACCACAUGGGAAAACUAGGUUGCUGUUGGAU